RNAcentral lists this non-coding RNA (29 nucleotides) under Rattus norvegicus (Norway rat). The record is from RNAcentral. Lineage: Eukaryota; Metazoa; Chordata; Mammalia; Rodentia; Muridae.
UGUUUUGCCAGGACAUUUCCUUUAGACUU